RNAcentral lists this long non-coding RNA (1437 nucleotides) under Homo sapiens (human). RNAcentral's name for it is "HSALNT0330122". The record is from RNAcentral. Lineage: Eukaryota; Metazoa; Chordata; Mammalia; Primates; Hominidae.
CUAAAGCGCCAUGCCGGAAGCACUGAGUCUGAUACGUCGGAACCAGUCUCCACCGUGUGGUUUGGUCUUGAUUUCCACUGGUACUCUGGGGUCUUGGAUAAGUCUCUGGACCUCGCCUUUGUCAUUUGCGAAGUCGAUAGGUUCCAAUAGAGAUUUUCCCAGAAUCAUUCAACUAAAAAUAGAGAACUUUUUUUUUUUGAGAGGAAGGACGGGGGCGCAGUUAAAGAUGUUAAUGUUAAGUCAUCCCUUCUGUGAUUUCGGGACAUUAUCUUUGCACGCCAUGUGAAGAUGUGCUUGCUUCCUUGUCACCUUCCGCCAUGAUUGUAAGUUUCCUGAGGCCUCCCAGGAAGCAGAAGCCUGUACAGCCCACAGAACCAUGACCUGAUGAAAUCUCUUUUCUUUAUAAAUUACCCAGUCUCAGGUCUACACAAACUCCAGCUGUAUACAAAAGACUGCAUCUCCAGCUUGUUUUGUCUGAGAGGUCUAGGCAUGAUAUUUUAUUAAUUGUGGACUAUCUCUACUUGAAUAGCUUGGAAUAUACUCAAACUUAAAGUUGAAUUCUUCCUUCCCUCCAGAUGUGCUUCAUUAAUUAAUUCAUUCAUUCAUUCAUCAGCUUCCAUACACCUCCUGUUAUCGGGCUAAGGUUAGUGGAGCUGAUGCAAAGAUAGGUAUGCAUGGCAUAAUGGCAGGAGGACCUUAGAGGCUAGUGCAGCAGAAUAGAAACAGCAGUGCCUGAUGAUAAGUAUAUGCCAGCGUGAUUUCACUUCCUCUUCUUGCCUGCUCAAAUCCCAGGGAGACAGAGUUUAUGUGAUACUCAACAAUGUGAUGGGAAACUACCAAGCUCGUAACUUUCAGUAAUCCUUUACAUCCUCUCACAGCUACUAAAUCAUGAAGGAUGGCUUGAACUCAGGCCCAUCUGACUCCAAAAUUUAUAUCCUUAACCCUAUUAUUUUCUUUAAUAGGUAAAACAGAAGCCUCAAAGACAUAAAAUAAAUUUCCCAGGCCCCAGUGUCACACAGUUAAUAAGCAACAGAGUUUAGAGUGGAACUCAAAUUGAGUACCAAAUAAGAUUUUUGCUACCACACCUAGAUUUUUUCAACAAUACUCAUUACUGUAACCUGAGUCAUGAAUGGAAGGCUAAAUUAAAGUCCUUAUUUUCUAAGACAGAGAACAAAGAUAUGUGUGACCCAUUUAAAAAUUAUAAGAAUCAUGACUUGCCCUUAUUGAGUUUCACUCUAUGCCAGGCACUGUGCUAAGCUCUUUUCAAAUACUAUGGCUUCAAGUCUUGGAAUAAUGUUAUAAGUAUGUUGCCCAUGGCCACGUGAUCAAAAACGUGGAAUUAAAGACCAGGCCUUUCUAAAUUUGUUGCUAGUGUCUCACCACCUUGUUCUACUCUCUCCAUUUUAGAAAGAUCUGCCUACAAUUUUUGAAAUAAAA